CCUACGGGAGGCAGCAGUGAGGGAUAUUGCACAAUGGGGGAAACCCUGAUGCAGCGACGCCGCGUGAGUGAAGAAGUAAUUCGUUAUGUAAAGCUCUAUCAGCAGGGAAGAAAAUGACGGUACCUGAGGAAGAAGCCCCGGCUAACUACGUGCCAGCAGCCGCGGUAAUACGUAGGGGGCAAGCGUUAUCCGGAUUUACUGGGUGUAAAGGGAGCGUAGACGGCAGUGCAAGUCAGGAGUGAAAGGCAUGGGCUUAACCCGCGGACUGCUUUGGAAACUGUACGGCUGGAGUGCAGGAGAGGCAAGUGGAAUUCCCGGUGUAGCGGUGAAAUGCGUAGAUAUUGGGAGGAACACCAGUGGCGAAGGCGGCUUACUGGACUGUAACUGACGCUGAGGCACGAAAGCGUGGGGAGCAAACAGGAUUAGAUACCCUUGUAGUC
Molecule: ribosomal RNA, 440 nt
Filed under: uncultured bacterium
Lineage: Bacteria
Description: partial 16S ribosomal RNA
Rfam family: Bacterial small subunit ribosomal RNA
Source: RNAcentral